UUAACUCAAAUUUGUAUGGACUCGGAACGUUUGCCGCUAGGAGCGCUGUUUCAAUUGCAUACAAAUUUGAGUUA
RNAcentral lists this microRNA precursor (74 nucleotides) under Bombyx mori (domestic silkworm). Its description in RNAcentral is "mir-2807 microRNA precursor family". It matches the Rfam family "mir-2807 microRNA precursor family". Lineage: Eukaryota; Metazoa; Arthropoda; Insecta; Lepidoptera; Bombycidae. The record is from Rfam by way of RNAcentral.